AGGGAGAGGGCCGGAUGCCGGGCGUAUGGGCCACACUUGGUGGUCCUCCUGCUGCGCCGCCUCAGGGGACUCCCUGCCUGGCUUUGCCUGUGCUGGCCGGAAAUCAUCUCCCCUUACUCCCCAGCAAUGCAAGCUGCAUGUGCAGCAGGAGGGAGGGUAGGACACAUCGGAAACCACCGGGCUCGGCGAUUGGGCUUUGAGAUCUUGGAGCUACCACACCCAAGAGACUAGGAGCUGAGGGUGGCCGGGAGGAAUCUACUCCCUGAAGAGCGCCCACCCACCCAGCCCAGUGUUUCCCCUGGGAGCCCAGGGCAGCCUUACUUCUCGGGGUUGUAACUAGGCCUCCUGACUACCCCCAGCCACCACUUACAUGGGAAACAUUUUAUAACCUGCUUUCUGGCGGGCAAGGCCAGGCUCCCGUGGGCUGCCUUCCUUCUGAAGUUUUCCAUUCAAUUAUUUACACGAGCCCACAGACCUCUGCAGGAAGUCGGCAGGCACAGGGUAGCAUUUAUUCUUCUGCUGUCUCAUUUGUGGAGGGACCUCCCUUCUCUUGAAUGUGGCUCCUUUGGAGGUCAGAGACUGAGGACGGUGGCAUCAUCUAGAUCCCCGUUGUUUAUUCUUGAGGCCAGAGCAUUGCCCACCAGGUGUUUCCCAGGCACGGACCCCUUGCCCAGCGUGGCAUUCAGAGGGGGCAGCUCCGGCCGCCUGCUCAGGAGUGGGGUGGGAUGGGGAGCUGCCUCUGGAGCCUUGUGCUGAAGGAGAGGACCGUUGACGGAGAAGGACAUCACCCAAGUCCUGGGGCCUUUGGGGAAAGUAGGAAACCUGCCUGUCCUACAGGAGAAGAGACCACCUCACCAACUUUGAAGGAUGCAGGCCUUGUUUAGAGCAGAUCUCAGAAUUGGUGCCCUGCGGGCUCCAGGCCUUGGCCCUGCUGGUGGAUGAAAGUGGCACAACCUGCCCUGAGGCCUGAGUGUCACGGGAACAACAGCUAGACGGCUAGACACUGGCCCCCUCACCCCACCUCCCAGGGUGGCACGGCUGUCCAGAUAUGGUGCUGAGGGAGAUAAAACAGAUCUGGUCUAGGCUGGGCGCGGUGGAACACGCCUGUAAUCCUAGCACUUUGGGAGGCUGAAGCGGGAAUAUCAUCUGAGGUCAGGAGUUUGAGACCAGCCUGGCCAAGAAAACCCCGUCUCUACUAAAAAGACAAAAAACUAGGCAGGCGUGGUAGCAUGUGCCUGUAAUCCCGAAAUUGCACCUCUGCACUCCAGCCUGGGCAAUAAAGCAAGACUCUCUCUCAAAACAAAAAAGUGUCUUCUGGGUGACUGAAAAAAAACCUUCAUUUCAGAUUAAAAAAAAAAAAAUC
RNAcentral lists this long non-coding RNA (1363 nucleotides) under Homo sapiens (human). Its description in RNAcentral is "HSALNT0309490". Lineage: Eukaryota; Metazoa; Chordata; Mammalia; Primates; Hominidae. The record is from RNAcentral.